This 345-nucleotide unclassified non-coding RNA is filed under the name soil metagenome. Its description in RNAcentral is "partial contains 5.8S ribosomal RNA, internal transcribed spacer 2, and large subunit ribosomal RNA". The stretch from base 1 to 120 matches the Rfam family "5.8S ribosomal RNA", at positions 35 to 154 of the family's 154-position model. The record is from RNAcentral.
GAUGAAGAACGCAGCGAAAUGCGAUACGUAAUGUGAAUUGCAGAAUUCAGUGAAUCAUCGAGUCUUUGAACGCACAUUGCGCCCUCUGGUAUUCCGGAGGGCAUGCCUGUCCGAGCGUCAUUGCUGCCCUCAAGCACGGCUUGUGUGUUGGGCUCCGUCCCCCGAUCCCGGGGGACGGGCCCGAAAGGCAGCGGCGGCACCGCGUCCGGUCCUCGAGCGUAUGGGGCUUUGUCACCCGCUCUGUAGGCCCGGCCGGCGCUUGCCGAUCAACCAAAUUUUUAUCCAGGUUGACCUCGGAUCAGGUAGGGAUACCCGCUAAACUUAAGCAUAUCAAUAAGCGGAGGA